GGGAGGAUAGCGAAGAGGUUAAACGCGGUUGGUUGUAAUCCAGCUCCCCUUUGGGUUCGGCGGUUCAAAUCCGUCUCCUCCCACCA
Molecule: transfer RNA, 86 nt
Filed under: Paenibacillus oenotherae
Lineage: Bacteria; Bacillati; Bacillota; Bacilli; Caryophanales; Paenibacillaceae
Description: tRNA-Tyr
Rfam family: tRNA
About the family: Transfer RNA (tRNA) molecules are approximately 80 nucleotides in length. Their secondary structure includes four short double-helical elements and three loops (D, anti-codon, and T loops).
Source: RNAcentral